GAUGAACGCUGGCGGCGUGCCUAAUACAUGCAAGUCGAGCGAACGGACGAGAAGCUUGCUUCUCUGAUGUUAGCGGCGGACGGGUGAGUAACACGUGGAUAACCUACCUAUAAGACUGGGAUAACUUCGGGAAACCGGAGCUAAUACCGGAUAAUAUUUUGAACCGCAUGGUUCAAAAGUGAAAGACGGUCUUGCUGUCACUGAUAGAUGGAUCCGCGCUGCAUUAGCUAGUUGGUAAGGUAACGGCUUACCAAGGCAACGAUGCAUAGCCGACCUGAGAGGGUGAUCGGCCACCCUGGAACUGAGACGCGGUCCAGACUCCUACGGGAGGCAGCAGUAGGGAAUCUUCCGCAAUGGGCGAAAGCCUGACGGAGCAACGCCGCGUGAGUGAUGAAGGUCUUCGGAUCGUAAAACUCUGUUAUUAGGGAAGAACAUAUGUGUAAGUAACUGUGCACAUCUUGACGGUACCUAGUCAGAAAGCCACGGCUAACUACGUG
This 497-nucleotide ribosomal RNA is filed under the name uncultured bacterium. Its description in RNAcentral is "partial 16S ribosomal RNA". It matches the Rfam family "Bacterial small subunit ribosomal RNA", at positions 28 to 507 of the family's 1533-position model. The record is from RNAcentral.